Molecule: transfer RNA, 72 nt
Filed under: Camelus bactrianus (Bactrian camel)
Lineage: Eukaryota; Metazoa; Chordata; Mammalia; Artiodactyla; Camelidae
Also listed under: 3 other names
Rfam family: tRNA
About the family: Transfer RNA (tRNA) molecules are approximately 80 nucleotides in length.
Source: Rfam by way of RNAcentral
GAGGGUAUAGCUCAGUGGUAGAGCACGUGCUUAGCAUGUACCAGGCCUUGGGUUCAAUCCUCAGUACCUCCA